AGAAAAUUGGCGGUGGUGGUGGGGAAUCACCCAAGAUGGAGGGUGGAAGUUGCCUCCUUUAGCCUUCUCCUUGGGAAAGGCAGGAGGGGGCUGGAUACAGCUCACGGGUUGAGGCAGAUGGCCAUAAUAUAUUCUAAAUCCUAGGGGUUGCUUGCAGUCCAGUGGCGUAGCAUGGGUUGUCAGCACCCGGGGCAAGGCAAGUAAUUUGCACCCCCUAACCCGUGGAUUUGCGCCCCCUAACCCUAACCCCCAGAUGUUGCGCCCGGUGCGGCUGGCCCCCC
Podarcis lilfordi (Lilford's wall lizard) is the source of this 281-nucleotide non-coding RNA. NCBI's taxonomy places the organism in Eukaryota, Metazoa, Chordata, Lepidosauria, Squamata, Lacertidae. The record is from the annotation of a GenBank genome assembly.